RNAcentral lists this unclassified non-coding RNA (1555 nucleotides) under Leishmania donovani. RNAcentral describes it as "gene:LdHU3.20.1430(CDS-product:Protein_transport_ protein_yif1_putative)". Lineage: Eukaryota; Euglenozoa; Kinetoplastea; Trypanosomatida; Trypanosomatidae. The record is from RNAcentral.
CCCACCCUGCUCAACCGCCUCUAUAUGCGGUAUGCUCUGUACGUCCAUGUGUCAUCCUGUCUAGUCACAGUCCAAGAAACAGGAUAGGUGCACACGACCUAUACGCACACGCACACGCACAAGCACGUGCACAAGGCGUCGCCCUCACCAGCACAGUGAACCUUCUUGUUUUCCACUGCCGUCAGACGUGUGCGCGCACGCUCUGGUCGCCUUGUCUUUUCUCGCUCCAUUUUUUGCGGAUCAUUGCGGGAAACUGGAAUCAUGCAGACUCCGCAUACUCCGACGAUCAACUUCGGCCCCACGGGCGGCAGCGGCAGCCCAGGUGGCGGCACCGCCUUUUUUGGCCGAAGCGACCCGAACGCAAUGAUGUUGCAGAUGGGCCUUAGUUACGGGCAGAACAUUCUCCAAAAACACGUCCAGCAGGGCGAGGCUGGACUAGCCUACUAUAUGCCUGUCAUCCGUGCUAUUCGCAACUACUUUGCUGUGGACAACACGUACGUGAAGCGAAAGCUGAUCAUCCUCACAAUGCCCUUUUUCACCAAGUAUGUCCGCAAGUCGCCGGCCGGCGGGGAGAGCGAUUUCGGCAGCAGCGGCGGUGUCGGGGAGGCGACUGGAGACCAAGUCUUUGGCGGCCCGGCCGGCUCCCCAGCCUCAAUGUUCCCAGCUGUCUCGCCCUCUACGCUCGCGGGUCACGACGGCGGCGGCAACACCUUUGCCGGUCCCUCGCUACCGCUGAACGACGUCUUCGCGUCAGACCUGUACAUCCCUCUGAUGAGUGUGAUCACCUACGUCGUACUCGCCGCUUACAUCCUUGGCGCCAACUCGCCAACGAGCUCCGUCACGGCCGCGUCGCUGAUCUCCACCGCGUGGGUGAUCGGCAUUUGGUUUUUCCUCGAGGUUGUUGUGCUAAAGGGUGUCGCGUAUGCACUCCUUGUCGUGCCGAACCCGCCGCUGCUGGAGCUGCUCGCACUGUGCGGAUACAAGUACGUUCUUCUCUGCCUGGGUGUUCUCGCGUCGCAGUGUCUGCCGCCGAGUCGCCUCUACAGCGGCCUUUUCAUGCUGUAUGCGGUACUGGCACAUAGCUUCUUUACGGUGCGCGUUUUAGGGCUGCAGUACAUGCGUAACGACGGUCGCGUGCUGCCACGGUCUCGCGUAUUCACCUACAUGGCCGCCCUGGCGCAGGUGCCGGGCUGUGUCUGGUUGUUUGUGCGGCUGCUCUAAGCAGCGAAGGCGGCGUUGCUUUGAUGCUCCUGUGCGCAUUAAGGGGGAGAGGCGGUGCAUGAGGGAUCGAGCGAGUGUAGGGGUUUUUCUUCUGCCUGGUGAAAGUGCCUACGUGCCCUGCUCGCCACCGAUACAACACCCUGUGCCCCCCCUCCCCUGGGCUGUUUUUUGUGCUUCUCCUUUUGCCGAUGAUUCAUGACCUGACGUGCGUGCUAGUGAGGUGUGCUUGCCACUCGCUCGCCUACACUUCAAGCUCGGUAUGUCUCUUUUUUGUUUUUUUUGCUGUGCGCGCUCCCCAGAGAGGGGGCGGUAUCUGUACACGCAGCUAUUCACU